RNAcentral lists this ribosomal RNA (429 nucleotides) under Actinomycetes bacterium. RNAcentral's name for it is "Actinobacteria bacterium partial 16S ribosomal RNA". It matches the Rfam family "Bacterial small subunit ribosomal RNA", at positions 355 to 776 of the family's 1533-position model. The record is from RNAcentral. Lineage: Bacteria; Bacillati; Actinomycetota; Actinomycetes.
UAGGGAAUCUUCCGCAAUGGGCGAAAGCCUGACGGAGCAACGCCGCGUGAGUGAUGAAGGUCUUCGGAUCGUAAAACUCUGUUAUUAGGGAAGAACAAAUGUGUAAGUAACUAUGCACGUCUUGACGGUACCUAAUCAGAAAGCCACGGCUAACUACGUGCCAGCAGCCGCGGUAAUACGUAGGUGGCAAGCGUUAUCCGGAAUUAUUGGGCGUAAAGCGCGCGUAGGCGGUUUUUUAAGUCUGAUGUGAAAGCCCACGGCUCAACCGUGGAGGGUCAUUGGAAACUGGAAAACUUGAGUGCAGAAGAUGAAAGUGGAAUUCCAUGUGUAGCGGUGAAAUGCGCAGAGAUAUGGAGGAACACCAGUGGCGAAGGCGACUUUCUGGUCUGUAACUGACGCUGAUGUGCGAAAGCGUGGAGAUCAAACAGG